RNAcentral lists this ribosomal RNA (301 nucleotides) under uncultured bacterium. RNAcentral describes it as "partial 16S ribosomal RNA". It matches the Rfam family "Bacterial small subunit ribosomal RNA", at positions 509 to 807 of the family's 1533-position model. The record is from RNAcentral.
CAGCAGCCGCGGGAAUACCGAGGGUGCGAGCGUUAAUCGGAUUUACUGGGCGUAAAGCGUGCGUAGGCGGCUUCUUAAGUCGGAUGUGAAAUCCCUGAGCUUAACUUAGGAAUUGCAUUCGAUACUGGGAAGCUAGAGUAUGGGAGAGGAUGGUAGAAUUCCAGGUGUAGCGGUGAAAUGCGUAGAGAUCUGGAGGAAUACCGAUGGCGAAGGCAGCCAUCUGGCCUAAUACUGACGCUGAGGUACGAAAGCAUGGGGAGCAAACAGGAUUAGAUACCCCGGUAGUCCCUGUCUCUUAUAC